This 432-nucleotide ribosomal RNA is filed under the name Rothia dentocariosa. RNAcentral describes it as "bacterial SSU rRNA". It matches the Rfam family "Bacterial small subunit ribosomal RNA", at positions 28 to 455 of the family's 1533-position model. The record is from RNAcentral. Lineage: Bacteria; Bacillati; Actinomycetota; Actinomycetes; Micrococcales; Micrococcaceae.
GACGAACGCGGGCGGCGUGCUUAACACAUGCAAGUCGAACGAUGAAGCCUAGCUUGUUAGGUGGAUUAGUGGGGAACGGGUGAGUAAUACGUGAGUGACCUACCUUUGACUCUGGGAUAAGCCUGGGAAACUGGGUCUAAUACCGGAUACGACCAAUCUCCGCAUGGGGUGUUGGUAGAAAGCAAUAUGGAGUGGUUUUAGAUGGGCUCACGGCCUAUCAGCUUGUUGGUGAGGUAAUGGCUUACCAAGGCGACGACGGGUAGCCGGCCUGAGAGGGUGACCGGCCACACUGGGAUUGAGACACGGCCCAGACUCCUACGGGAGGCAGCAGUGGGGAAUAUUGCACAAUGGGCGCAAGCCUGAUGCAGUGACGCCGCGUGAGGGAUGACGGCCUUCGGGUUGUAAACCUCUGUUAGCAUCGAAGAAGCGAAA